Molecule: ribosomal RNA, 253 nt
Filed under: uncultured bacterium
Lineage: Bacteria
Description: partial 16S ribosomal RNA
Rfam family: Bacterial small subunit ribosomal RNA
Source: RNAcentral
GACGUAGGGCGCGAGCGUUGUCCGGAUUUAUUGGGCGUAAAGAGCUCGUAGGCGGCUUGUCGCGUCGUCCGUGAAAACCUGGGGCUCAACCCCAGGCUUGCGGUCGAUACGGGCAGGCUCGAGUUCGGUAGGGGAGACUGGAAUUCCUGGUGUAGCGGUGAAAUGCGCAGAUAUCAGGAGGAACACCGGUGGCGAAGGCGGGUCUCUGGGCCGAUACUGACGCUGAGGAGCGAAAGCGUGGGGAGCGAUCCGG